UACGUAGGUGGCAAGCGUUGUCCGGAAUUAUUGGGCGUAAAGCGCGCGCAGGCGGUCUCUUAAGUCUGAUGUGAAAGCCCACGGCUCAACCGUGGAGGGUCAUUGGAAACUGGGGGACUUGAGUACUGGAGAGGAGAGUGGAAUUCCAUGUGUAGCGGUGAAAUGCGUAGAUAUAUGGAGGAACACCAGUGGCGAAGGCGGCUCUCUGGCCAGUAACUGACGCUGAGGCGCGAAAGCGUGGGGAGCAAACAGGAUUAAGAUACCCGAGUA
This 270-nucleotide ribosomal RNA is filed under the name uncultured prokaryote. RNAcentral's name for it is "partial 16S ribosomal RNA". It matches the Rfam family "Bacterial small subunit ribosomal RNA", at positions 524 to 792 of the family's 1533-position model. The record is from RNAcentral.